Molecule: ribosomal RNA, 253 nt
Filed under: uncultured bacterium
Lineage: Bacteria
Description: partial 16S ribosomal RNA
Rfam family: Bacterial small subunit ribosomal RNA
Source: RNAcentral
CACGUAGGGCGCAAGCGUUGUCCGGAAUUAUUGGGCGUAAAGAGCUCGUAGGCGGUCUGUUGCGUCCGCUGUGAAAACCCGGGGCUUAACCCUGGGCUGGCAGUGGAUACGGACAGACUAGAGGUAGGUAGGGGAGAAUGGAAUUCCCGGUGUAGCGGUGAAAUGCGCAGAUAUCAGGAGGAACACCGGUGGCGAAGGCGGGUCUCUGGGCCGGUAUUGACACUGAGGCGCGAAAGCCAGGGGAGCAAACGGG